CUGAGCGUGAAGCCACGCAGGCCGCUGGUCCUGCGCGGCUGACCCUCCACCCGUGUGAACUGAUUUUGUUGCUUUGGCGGGCCGGGCUCGACCUACCGGCUCCGGCUGGGGAGUGCCCGCCAGAGAAGCCCCAACUCGUGCAGUUAGUGCAGUCUGAGAAAAAUUUAAUAAGUA
RNAcentral lists this unclassified non-coding RNA (174 nucleotides) under Podosphaera fugax. Its description in RNAcentral is "sequence contains ITS1". Lineage: Eukaryota; Fungi; Ascomycota; Leotiomycetes; Helotiales; Erysiphaceae. The record is from RNAcentral.